Molecule: long non-coding RNA, 337 nt
Filed under: Elaeis guineensis (African oil palm)
Lineage: Eukaryota; Viridiplantae; Streptophyta; Magnoliopsida; Arecales; Arecaceae
Description: long non-coding RNA (EGUI_LNC015559)
Source: RNAcentral
ACACCGACUGUUGGGAUAGAUCCUCGUCACUUGACCGACUACCCAGCUUUUUCGUAUCUGAGUCGAUUAAAGAAGCUUCAUCGACUAAGCUGCCUUCAAUCAACCCGGCUCGGAUCGAUGAGUCCCGAUCGGUAAGGUUGACACUGGGUACCGACAUGGAUUUCUAGCUGACUAAAGUCUGCUCCUCCUGAUCGGCAUCAGUCUGACUAAGAUUAAUAUGCCAUCCACGACUUCUAGCUCCCAGCGCCACUCGGCCUGUGAUCGAGUUCAUACUCGGUUAGUGGCCGAGUAUGCCAAUCGAGGAUAAGACAAUCCGAUGGUCCUAUUCUGCCGACUC